This 468-nucleotide ribosomal RNA is filed under the name uncultured bacterium. Its description in RNAcentral is "bacterial SSU rRNA". It matches the Rfam family "Bacterial small subunit ribosomal RNA", at positions 337 to 797 of the family's 1533-position model. The record is from RNAcentral.
GCCUACGGGAGGCAGCAGUGGGGAAUAUUGGACAAUGGGGGAAACCCUGAUCCAGCGACGCCGCGUGGGUGAAGAAGGCCUGCGGGUUGUAAAGCCCUUUCGGUAGGGAAGAAAUCUCUUGCUCUAACAAAGCAAGGGUUUGACUUAACCUACAUAAGAAGCACCGGCUAACUCUGUGCCAGCAGCCGCGGUAAUACAGAGGGUGCGAGCGUUAACCGGAAUUACUGGGCGUAAAGCGCACGUAGUCGGCUUGCCAAGUCGGGUGUGAAAUCCCCGGGCUCAACCUGGGAACUGCAUCCGAAACUGGCUUGCUAGAGUAUGGGAGAGGGAGGCGGAAUUUCUGGUGUAGCAGUGAAAUGCGUAGAUAUCAGAAGGAACAUCAGUGGCGAAGGCGGCCUCCUGGACCAAUACUGACGAUCAGGUGCGAAAGCGUGGGGAGCAAACAGGAUUAGAUACCCGCGUAGUCCC